UUUAGUUCAUUUAUAUUCCCUCAAUAUUUAGUUUUUCUUUUAUUUUUAUAUUUCCUUUGAUGCUACUAUGAUUAUAUUAUGAGUUCAUUUUAUAAAUACUCUUUAUUUAUAUUUCUAUGUGACUGUUCUUUUCAUACAUUUAAAUUUAAAAAGGCACACGUGAUCCAAACGGUCUACGCUUCCGCUAAAGGCAGAGCCGCGGAUGUUGGUCUCUCCUCAUAACAGAAACAUCUCUCGCAGCGGAAUUCUUGUCAGACGCAAAUAUUUCAUAUGCUGCUUUGUAUUUCAAUUUAUCACGACAAUAUUUUAAUAUAAAAAUAAUAAAUAAAAAAAUGUGGGUGAUAUAAAAAAGUAACGUUUUAAAUCAUAAAGGAAGCACAUGUCGUAAACGGUGCUUUUAGCGGAAGUUGCAUACGUUCUGAUUUCCGACAGUGAGGAGCAGCGUGUGAGAGAGCAGAGUUCCCGCCGAAAGAUGAACAGAUGGUGAUGGAGCGUCUCUGCGAUCAGCAGCUGUAAUCAAUGCUCUUACUCUUCUACAGUGUUGGGAAUUUACACAAUAAAUGUAACUGUAAUCAGUCAAAUAAAGCUUCUGACAUGUUUCAAA
Carassius gibelio (silver crucian carp) is the source of this 604-nucleotide long non-coding RNA. RefSeq lists it as uncharacterized. The record is from RefSeq and is a predicted model, not a curated record. The transcript is spliced from 2 exons. Lineage: Eukaryota; Metazoa; Chordata; Actinopteri; Cypriniformes; Cyprinidae.